Molecule: ribosomal RNA, 468 nt
Filed under: uncultured bacterium
Lineage: Bacteria
Description: partial 16S ribosomal RNA
Rfam family: Bacterial small subunit ribosomal RNA
Source: RNAcentral
GACGAACGCUGGCGGCGUGCUUAACACAUGCAAGUCGAACGGAAAGGCCCUGCUUUUGUGGGGUGCUCGAGUGGCGAACGGGUGAGUAACACGUGAGUAACCUGCCCUUGACUUUGGGAUAACUUCAGGAAACUGGGGCUAAUACCGGAUAGGAGCUCCUGCUGCAUGGUGGGGGUUGGAAAGUUUCGGCGGUUGGGGAUGGACUCGCGGCUUAUCAGCUUGUUGGUGGGGUAGUGGCUUACCAAGGCUUUGACGGGUAGCCGGCCUGAGAGGGUGACCGGCCACAUUGGGACUGAGAUACGGCCCAGACUCCUACGGGAGGCAGCAGUGGGGAAUAUUGCACAAUGGGCGGAAGCCUGAUGCAGCAACGCCGCGUGCGGGAUGACGGCCUUCGGGUUGUAAACCGCUUUCGCCUGUGACGAAGCGCGAGUGACGGUAAUGGGUAAAGAAGCACCGACUAACUACGUG